CUGGGAGAGAAGAGGGAAGCGGCCGAGAACGCCGCUGGGAACCGAACGGCGGGGCGCGCAGCAGCCGGUGAUCACGUGGCACGUGGCGCGCGGACUUCUGGGAGAUGUAGUCCUUCGGGCAUCCCAGCUGACCAGACCCAACAGAACGCAGAGGCCAUGGAAAGUCUGUUGUUGGGAAUCCAGGCAGCUUUCUAGGGCAGCAAAAUAGGUGAAAGGAGCAGGGAUUUGGAGAGGCAAGUGGAAGGCAUGUGGCAUACUCAUCAUGAUAUAAAUACAGAUCAAUGACUUAACCAAUAUU
This is a long non-coding RNA of Pipistrellus kuhlii (Kuhl's pipistrelle), 298 nucleotides long. RefSeq lists it as uncharacterized. NCBI's taxonomy places the organism in Eukaryota, Metazoa, Chordata, Mammalia, Chiroptera, Vespertilionidae. The transcript has 2 exons. The record is from RefSeq and is a predicted model, not a curated record.